GUAUGAACGGCAAAACCUCUUCCAACUGUCUCCCCUCCCAUCCUUUUAAAUUUCCUCCUGUGUGAAGAAGCACAGAUAUAUCAGAAAGACGAGAAGACCCUGUCGAGCUUAACCACUAAGUGGGCCUUACCCUUUUCAGGCACCACCUAAAGGUUUUGGUUGGGGCAACCAUGGAGAAAAAAGAUCCUCCAGAACAAAUAGAAGAAAGCUUUUCACUAUUUUACGACUAAGAACCAGGAACUGGUAUUCGGAAAAAGUUACCGCAGGGAUAACAGCGUCAUCUCCUCUAAGAGUCCUUAUUGACGAGGAGGUUUGCGACCUCGAUGUUGGAUUGGGGCCCCCUUAGGGUGCAGAAGCUCUAAACGGUUAGACUGUUCGUCUAUUAAAGCCCUACAUGAUCUGA
RNAcentral lists this ribosomal RNA (403 nucleotides) under Holothuria arguinensis. RNAcentral describes it as "partial 16S ribosomal RNA". It matches the Rfam family "Bacterial large subunit ribosomal RNA", at positions 1990 to 2608 of the family's 2925-position model. The record is from RNAcentral. Lineage: Eukaryota; Metazoa; Echinodermata; Holothuroidea; Aspidochirotida; Holothuriidae.